UUCUGUAAGCCUGCGAAGGUGUGCUGUGAGGCAUGCUGGAGGUAUCAGAAGUGCGAAUGCUGACAUAAGUAACGAUAAAGCGGGUGAAAAGCCCGCUCGCCGGAAGACCAAGGGUUCCUGUCCAACGUUAAUCGGGGCAGGGUGAGUCGACCCCUAAGGCGAGGCCGAAAGGCGUAGUCGAUGGGAAACAGGUUAAUAUUCCUGUACUUGGUGUUACUGCGAAGGGGGGACGGAGAAGGCUAUGUUGGCCGGGCGACGGUUGUCCCGGUUUAAGCGUGUAGGCUGGUUUUCCAGGCAAAUCCGGAAAAUCAAGGCUGAGGCGUGAUGACGAGGCACUACGGUGCUGAAGCAACAAAUGCCCUGCUUCCAGGAAAAGCCUCUAAGCAUCAGGUAACAUCAAAUCGUACCCCAAACCGACACAGGUGGUCAGGUAGAGAAUACCAAGGCGCUUGAGAGAACUCGGGUGAAGGAACUAGGCAAAAUGGUGCCGUAACUUCGGGAGAAGG
This 506-nucleotide ribosomal RNA is filed under the name Escherichia coli. Its description in RNAcentral is "partial 23S ribosomal RNA". It matches the Rfam family "Bacterial large subunit ribosomal RNA", at positions 1239 to 1746 of the family's 2925-position model. Lineage: Bacteria; Pseudomonadati; Pseudomonadota; Gammaproteobacteria; Enterobacterales; Enterobacteriaceae. The record is from RNAcentral.